RNAcentral lists this ribosomal RNA (250 nucleotides) under uncultured bacterium. RNAcentral describes it as "partial 16S ribosomal RNA". It matches the Rfam family "Bacterial small subunit ribosomal RNA", at positions 524 to 773 of the family's 1533-position model. The record is from RNAcentral.
UACGGAGGGUGCAAGCAUUAAUCGGAUUUAUUGGGCGUAAAGGGCGCGUAGGCGGGGAUGUAAGUCAGACGUGAAAUCCCGGGGCUCAACCUCGGAACAGCAUUUGAAACUAUAUCUCUUGAGGGUAGGCGGAGAAAACGGAAUUCCACAAGUAGCGGUGAAAUGCGUAGAUAUGUGGAAGAACACCGGUGGCGAAGGCGGUUUUCUAGCUUAUUCCUGACGCUAAAGCGCGAAAGCAAGGGGAUCAAAC